GAUAUUAGCUCAGUUGGUAGAGCACUUGACUUUUAAUCAAGUUGUCCGGGGUUCGAAUCCCCGAUGUCUCA
This 71-nucleotide transfer RNA is filed under the name Lachnospiraceae bacterium. RNAcentral describes it as "tRNA-Lys". It matches the Rfam family "tRNA". Rfam says of the family: Transfer RNA (tRNA) molecules are approximately 80 nucleotides in length. Lineage: Bacteria; Bacillati; Bacillota; Clostridia; Lachnospirales; Lachnospiraceae. The record is from RNAcentral.